This 372-nucleotide long non-coding RNA is filed under the name Gallus gallus (chicken). Lineage: Eukaryota; Metazoa; Chordata; Aves; Galliformes; Phasianidae. The record is from RNAcentral.
CGACAUUCUCCAGUGUCAUGAUUGAUAAUUAAGAUACAUUCCUUUAGGUAAGGCUUCUUCGAGCCCUUGAACACUGUCACUGGUGGAGUCGAGCCCUCAAUAUUCGGCAGUGUUAUCGUCACCUGUUCACCUUUGCCAACUUCAAGGUCUCCUUCACAAGCGGUAUCAAUAGAUGCAGGCUUAAAGUCAUAGCGCACGGUGUGGAAGGCGCAGCGCGGCUGCUUCUCGAAGGUCUCGCCCAGCUGCAGCACCCGCUCCUUGGGCUCGAAGAGCGGCGGGGCCAUCCCGUUCAUGGCGGCGCGCACCGCACACCUCACACCAUGGCCCGCCCGGGCGGCCCCCGCCGCUACCGCCGCCACCGCACAUCCCUCA